UGCUGCAUGGCUGUCGUCAGCUCGUGUCGUGUAGAUGUUCGGUUAAGUCCGCUAACGAGCGCAACCCUCGCUGUGUGUUAUAUGUGUCACACGGGACUGCCGGUCUUAAGCCGGAGGAAGGUGGGGAUGAUGUCAAGUCAGCAUGGCCUUUAUAUCCUGGGCUACACACACGCUACAAUGGCCAACACAAUAGGUUGCUAAGCCGCGAGGUGGCGCCAAUCCAUAAAGUUGGUCUCAGUUCAGAUUGUAGGCUGCAACCCGCCUGCAUGAAGAUGGAGUUGCUAGUAACCGCAGGUCAGCUAUACUGCGGUGAAUACGUUCCCGGGGCUU
RNAcentral lists this ribosomal RNA (330 nucleotides) under uncultured Leptolinea sp. RNAcentral describes it as "bacterial SSU rRNA". It matches the Rfam family "Bacterial small subunit ribosomal RNA", at positions 1039 to 1382 of the family's 1533-position model. Lineage: Bacteria; Bacillati; Chloroflexota; Anaerolineae; Anaerolineales; Anaerolineaceae. The record is from RNAcentral.